RNAcentral lists this unclassified non-coding RNA (215 nucleotides) under soil metagenome. Its description in RNAcentral is "partial contains 5.8S ribosomal RNA, internal transcribed spacer 2, and large subunit ribosomal RNA". The record is from RNAcentral.
AACCUAGCACACCUGCGGUGUGUACCUGCGGAAGGAUCAUUACAUGAUUUAACAGGGAGUGGAGGCUUCGGCCAAAGCUCUGUCUGAACCCAUGUCUUUUGCGUACUUCUUGUUUCCUCGGUGGGCUUGCCCGCCGAUAGGACAACCUUAAACUCUUUGCAAUUGCAAUCAGCGUCUGAAAAACUAUAAUAGUUACAACUUUCAGCAAUGGAUCU